UACGUAGGGUCCGAGCGUUGUCCGGAAUUACUGGGCGUAAAGAGCUCGUAGGUGGUUUGUCGCGUUGUCCGUGAAAACUCACAGCUUAACUGUGGGCGUGCGGGCGAUACGGGCAGACUGGAGUACUGCAGGGGAGACUGGAAUUCCUGGUGUAGCGGUGGAAUGCGCAGAUAUCAGGAGGAACACCGGUGGCGAAGGCGGGUCUCUGGGCAGUAACUGACGCUGAGGAGCGAAAGCGUGGGGAGCGAACAGGAUUAGAAACCCCAGUAGUCC
Molecule: ribosomal RNA, 273 nt
Filed under: uncultured Mycobacterium sp.
Lineage: Bacteria; Bacillati; Actinomycetota; Actinomycetes; Mycobacteriales; Mycobacteriaceae
Description: partial 16S ribosomal RNA
Rfam family: Bacterial small subunit ribosomal RNA
Source: RNAcentral